ACGCUGGCGGCGUGCUUAACACAUGCAAGUCGAACGAAGAGCGAUGGAAGCUUGCUUCUAUCAAUCUUAGUGGCGAACGGGUGAGUAACGCGUAAUCAACCUGCCCUUCAGAGGGGGACAACAGUUGGAAACGACUGCUAAUACCGCAUACGAUCUAAUCUUGGCAUCGAGACUGGAUGAAAGGUGGCCUCUAUUUAUAAGCUAUCACUGAAGGAGGGGAUUGCGUCUGAUUAGCUAGUUGGAGGGGUAACGGCCCACCAAGGCGAUGAUCAGUAGCCGGUCUGAGAGGAUGAACGGCCACAUUGGGACUGAGGCACGGCCCAGACUCCUACGGGAGGCAGCAGUGGGGAAUCUUCCGCAAUGGACGAAAGUCUGACGGAGCAACGCCGCGUGAGUGAUGACGGCCUUCGGGUUGUAAAGCUCUGUUAAUCGGGACGAAUGGUUCUUGUGCAAAUAGUGCGAGGAUUUGACGGUACCGGAAUAGAAAGCCACGGCUAACUACGUGCCAGCAGCCGCGGUAAUACGUAGGUGGCAAGCGUUGUCCGGAAUUAUUGGGCGUAAAGCGCGCGCAGGCGGAUUGGUCAGUCUGUCUUAAAAGUUCGGGGCUUAACCCCGUGAUGGGAUGGAAACUGCCAAUCUAGAGUAUCGGAGAGGAAAGUGGAAUUCCUAGUGUAGCGGUGAAAUGCGUAGAUACUAGGAAGAACACCAGUGGCGAAGGCGACUUUCUGGACGAAAACUGACGCUGAGGCGCGAAAGCCAGGGGAGCGAACGGGAUUAGAUACCCCGGUAGUCCUGGCCGUAAACGAUGGGUACUAGGUGUAGGAGGUAUCGACCCCUUCUGUGCCGGAGUUAACGCAAUAAGUACCCCGCCUGGGGAGUACGACCGCAAGGUUGAAACUCAAAGGAAUUG
RNAcentral lists this ribosomal RNA (910 nucleotides) under uncultured bacterium. Its description in RNAcentral is "bacterial SSU rRNA". It matches the Rfam family "Bacterial small subunit ribosomal RNA", at positions 33 to 912 of the family's 1533-position model. The record is from RNAcentral.